AACAGGAUUAGAUACCCUGGUAGUCCACGCCGUAAACGAUGUCGAUUUGGAGGUUGUGCCCUUGAGGCGUGGCUUCCGGAGCUAACGCGUUAAGUCGACCGCCUGGGGAGUACGGCCGCAAGGUUAAAACUCAAAUGAAUUGACGGGGGCCCGCACAAGCGGUGGAGCAUGUGGUUUAAUUCGAUGCAACGCGAAGAACCUUACCUGGUCUUGACAUCCACAGAACUUAGCAGAGAUGCUUUGGUGCCUUCGGGAACUGUGAGACAGGUGCUGCAUGGCUGUCGUCAGCUCGUGUUGUGAAAUGUUGGGUUAAGUCCCGCAACGAGCGCAACCCUUAUCCUUUGUUGCCAGCGGUUAGGCCGGGAACUCAAAGGAGACUGCCAGUGAUAAACUGGAGGAAGGUGGGGAUGACGUCAAGUCAUCAUGGCCCUUACGACCAGGGCUACACACGUGCUACAAUGGCAUAUACAAAGAGAAGCGACCUCGCGAGAGCAAGCGGACCUCAUAAAGUAUGUCGUAGUCCGGAUUGGAGUCUGCAACUCGACUCCAUGAAGUCGGAAUCGCUAGUAAUCGUAGAUCAGAAUGCUACGGUGAAUACGUUCCCGGGCCUUGUACACACCGCCCGUCACACCAUGGGAGUGGGUUGCAAAAGAAGUAGGUAGCUUAACCUUCGGGAGGGCGCUUACCACUUUGUGAUUCAUGACUGGGGUGAAGUCGUAACAAGGUAACC
RNAcentral lists this ribosomal RNA (730 nucleotides) under uncultured bacterium. Its description in RNAcentral is "bacterial SSU rRNA". It matches the Rfam family "Bacterial small subunit ribosomal RNA", at positions 771 to 1501 of the family's 1533-position model. The record is from RNAcentral.